Long non-coding RNA from Bos taurus (domestic cattle), 604 nucleotides. The record is from Ensembl. Lineage: Eukaryota; Metazoa; Chordata; Mammalia; Artiodactyla; Bovidae.
GGUGCUUCCCUUACCCGCAGGGCUACUAUGAGGUCUCAGUGCCCCUGCUGCUGGCUUCUGGGCCUCUGGCCUGGGGAGGGUGGGUGGCAGUGAAGCUGAUGUUUCUGCCUUCAGGAUUUCAGACCACUCUGCUCAUCCUGGAGGAUUUUCUGGCCUGCUCAGCCACUUUGGAGCCCCUGCUGUAUGAUCCACAGAGCCUUAUGAAGGGUGGUGGGUCUUGGCUGCCUGCCUGAAGGAGGAACUCCAGCCUUGGGUUGCCUCGGGUCACAGAGUUUUGGCUGUCUGGACCUGUCAGGGCCUCUCCAACUGCUCAACAUUGCCGCUUUUCUUGGCAGCUCAGUGCCGGGUACCAGCAGGAGCAUUCUGGUACAGCAGCUAUAAUUUUGAUGAUCCAUGCAGGCGUUGUUAACUGCUUUCACAUUUGAGAAUCAGAGAAGUUCUGAGACCUACCUAAUUGGAUCUGGAGGAGCAGUCCCAUCUUCUUGGAAAGCUGCCCCUAGCCAGGGUCUGCAGGGGCACUCCAAGGCCCAGUUGGCGUGUGGGAGUCUCCAGCAAUGGACACUGGAUUACUGGGGUGGAUAGCAGGACUUCCUCCCAUGCCCAG